AAUGUUUGACGCCAUUGACUUUUUUAAACAUGUUUGACCGUUCGUCUUAUUCAAAAAAUUUAAGUAAUUAUUAAUUAUUUUCCUAUCAUUUGAUUCAUUGUUAAAUAUAUUUCUAUGUAGGCAUAUAAUUUUAUAUAUUUCACAAAAGUUUUUAAAUAAGACGAACGGUCAAACAUGUGCUUAAAAAGUCAACGGUG
RNAcentral lists this microRNA precursor (197 nucleotides) under Oryza sativa Indica Group (long-grained rice). RNAcentral describes it as "MIR812 microRNA precursor family". It matches the Rfam family "MIR812 microRNA precursor family". The record is from Rfam by way of RNAcentral. Lineage: Eukaryota; Viridiplantae; Streptophyta; Magnoliopsida; Poales; Poaceae.